Molecule: ribosomal RNA, 255 nt
Filed under: Duganella violaceipulchra
Lineage: Bacteria; Pseudomonadati; Pseudomonadota; Betaproteobacteria; Burkholderiales; Oxalobacteraceae
Description: partial 16S ribosomal RNA
Rfam family: Bacterial small subunit ribosomal RNA
Source: RNAcentral
AGAGAUUGGGGAGUGCUCGAAAGAGAACCAGUACACAGGUGCUGCAUGGCUGUCGUCAGCUCGUGUCGUGAGAUGUUGGGUUAAGUCCCGCAACGAGCGCAACCCUUGUCAUUAGUUGCUACGAAAGAGCACUCUAAUGAGACUGCCGGUGACAAACCGGAGGAAGGUGGGGAUGACGUCAAGUCCUCAUGGCCCUUAUGGGUAGGGCUUCACACGUCAUACAAUGGUACAUACAGAGGGCCGCCAACCCGCGAG